AGUGCUGUAGCCUCAUAGCUCAGAACAACCUGCAACUCGUAGCCUCAAGCGAUUCUCUUGCCUCAGCCUCCCUGGUAGCUGAGAGUACAGGAGCUCACCAUGACCCUGGGUACUUUUUAGAGACACGUUCUGGCUCUUGAUCAACUAAAGACACCACCUGCCAUGGCUCAGAGGCCCCUCUGUUCCUCCUCCCCAAGGGCUACAGCUUGGAAGUCUGGCCAUUGGAAUUCCCAGAACUUCCCGUGUGAAUGUUCCUCAGUAUUGAUUCCGGAAGUU
Molecule: long non-coding RNA, 276 nt
Organism: Nycticebus coucang (slow loris)
Lineage: Eukaryota; Metazoa; Chordata; Mammalia; Primates; Lorisidae
Exons: 3
Source: RefSeq, a predicted model, not a curated record